GCAUCUUCUUGGGUUAAAAACUCCGGUGGUUAAAGAUGGGCAUGCGUUGUAUUAGCUAGUUGGUGAGGUAACGGCUCACCAAGGCAACGAUACAUAGGGGGACUGAGAGGUUAACCCCCCACAUUGGUACUGAGACACGGACCAAACUCCUACGGGAGGCAGCAGUGAGGAACGUUGGUCAAUGGACGCAAGUCUGAACCAGCCAUGCCGCGUGCAGGAAGACGGCUCUAUGAGUUGUAAACUGCUUUUGUACUAGGGUAAACGCUUCUACGUGUAGGAGCCUGAAAGUAUAGUACGAAUAAGGAUCGGCUAACUCCGUGCCAGCAGCCGCGGUAAUACGGAGGAUCCAAGCGUUAUCCGGAUUUAUUGGGUUUAAAGGGUGCGUAGGCGGUUUGAUAAGUUAGAGGUGAAAUACCGGGGCUCAACUCCGGAACUGCCUCUAAUACUGUUGAACUAGAGAGUAGUUGCGGUAGGCGGAAUGUAUGGUGUAGCGGUGAAAUGCUUAGAGAUCAUACAGAACACCGAUUGCGAAGGCAGCUUACCAAACUAUAUCUGACGUUGAGGCACGAAAGCGUGGGGAGCAAACAGGAUUAGAUACCCUGGUAGUCCACGCAGUAAACGAUGAUAACUCGUUGUCGGCGAUACAC
RNAcentral lists this ribosomal RNA (647 nucleotides) under uncultured bacterium. RNAcentral describes it as "bacterial SSU rRNA". It matches the Rfam family "Bacterial small subunit ribosomal RNA", at positions 188 to 834 of the family's 1533-position model. The record is from RNAcentral.